This 1023-nucleotide long non-coding RNA is filed under the name Capsicum annuum. RNAcentral's name for it is "long non-coding RNA (CANN_LNC014697)". Lineage: Eukaryota; Viridiplantae; Streptophyta; Magnoliopsida; Solanales; Solanaceae. The record is from RNAcentral.
CUUUGCGCCGCCUCUCAACCAUGUUCAUCUCAGCUGCGAAACGGGAGUUUUUGACAUCUUCACUUGGUGCUGGUAAUUCCUUUCUCUCCCAUCUUUUUGUUGUUUUUGUAUUUGUCAAUCUAAUCUGAUAAAAAGCUCUUUCAGAUGGUUGGGGUUCAUUCCCCUGAUAUUGAAAAAUAAUGGCCAGUUUAUUACCCUUCUCAGUGUAACGUAAGUUUCCAGAUCCUGUAGCUCCUUGAGAAAUGCUGAUGUUGAUUGUACUGGUGUUGUUAUCUCUUCCUCUUUAGGUAUUGUUGAAAAUUUUCUUCAGAUCCCGAGGAGUAUGGCCUGUCAAGCAGGGAAGCUCCAUCUACCCUUAUUUUUUGUGAAGGUUUUUGAUUACUAGAGCAUUUAUCUAGACAUAGCACAGUAAAGUACUUGUUUAAAUUGCUCAAACCUUGACUGUGCCCCUGCUUUGUUUCCGAGGGCUUGUAAAAUUUAGGACCCCUAGCUUUCUCAUCUCUUUAAUUGACUAAAUCGACAGCUAGUUCUGAAUGUAAUUAUGCAUAUGACUGAAUCUGUCUCGUUCUGAUCCUCAGAUUAGGGGUUUGUGUUUUAUUCAUGUUAAUGUGCUUUCUGAUUCUUGCUGGUAGCUCAUAGAAACUGUGAUAUUUUGUGCUCAACUGUGCAUCAAUUACUUCAUUUGCUAAAGCAUCUGCUACUGUAUUUCCUUCUCUAAAAGUAUGUUGUUUCUUUGCUUGAAUUGCAUGAAUUCUGUCCCUCAUAUCUUCAAUCUGUUCAAUUAAUUCCCAAGGUACUUUCCACAGCCUGUUAAUCAUCUUCAUAAGAACUAAUGAGUCAGUCUCUAUGAUUACUUUCCUCAAAUCCUUUUGUUGCAUAUACUUUAAAGCAUCAUUUAUUGCUUCUAUUUCAGCUUGUGUGUUAGUAGUAAUACCCAAACUUUUUGCUUUUGCAUACACCAAAUCCCCUCUGUCAUCUCUAAUACAGAAUGCACACGCACUGAUUCCUGGAUUACCCCUGCUU